This 443-nucleotide ribosomal RNA is filed under the name uncultured bacterium. RNAcentral's name for it is "partial 16S ribosomal RNA". It matches the Rfam family "Bacterial small subunit ribosomal RNA", at positions 338 to 795 of the family's 1533-position model. The record is from RNAcentral.
CCUACGGUGGGCAGCAGUGGGGAAUAUUGGGCAAUGGGCGCAAGCCUGACCCAGCAACGCCGCGUGAAGGAAGAAGGCUUUCGGGUUGUAAACUUCUUUUCUCAGGGACGAAGCAAGUGACGAUCCCUGAGGAAUAAGCCACGGCUAACUACGUGCCAGCAGCCGCGGUAAUACGUAGGUGGCAAGCGUUAUCCGGAUUUACUGGGUGUAAAGGGCGUGUAGGCGGGACUGCAAGUCAGAUGUGAAAACCACGGGCUCAACCUGUGGCCUGAAGUUGACCCUGUAGUUCGUGAGUACUGGAGAGGCAGACGGAAUUCCUGGUGUAGCGGUGAAAUGCGUAGAUAUUAGGAGGAACACCAGUGGCGAAGGCGGUCUGCUGGACAGCAACUGACGCUGAGGCGCGAAAGCGUGGGGAGCAAACAGGAUUAGAUACCCCAGUAGUC